CAAAUGGAUUACUUUGGUCUCACACAUAUAUAUUAUAUGUAUUUAAUUUUAAAAUUAUGUGGAUCGUCGGAUUGGUUGAGAUUUAAAUCUCAAAUCGUUGUUUUAUAAUUAACCCUAGUAACCUCACUCUCACCUCACCUCACCCUCACUGUCUCUCUCACCCGAUUCGCCUCCUCCACCCAAAUCCAAAUCGAGCCCUCCAUCUUCCUCUGUCCUCCCACAUCAGUGGGAUCACCCAAAUUCGUCGCCUGAAUCGUGACUCCACCCACACCGGUCCUCAAUCCUCAGUCUUCACUUCGUGAAUUCGUCCCCUGAAUCACGAUUCCACCCACUGUCCACACCACCUCGCCCAAAUCGAGCUCUCGGUCAUAGUCCUCACUCACUCCACCUCACUCCACAAGUUUCUCGAUGACUAGUUUGGUUGACCCGAUCCAACUCAUAUUGGAGCGGUUUGGGGCCUUGUUCUCUCUGUCUCCGCAACCUCAAAGGCCAUGCCCUUGUCACGCCCCCAUUGCCGGUGACCAUGAGCUGAAUGUAUUAUCUCCAACCCAAAAGUUACUUUUACAACCCGAAGUGAGGAAUAUGAAUCUUUGAGAUGGCUGAUCUGGAACUUGUAGAGGGUGGAGUUGUUAUAUAAGAAUCAUCUUAAAGCAAGUGGUGGAAAGACCCUUGAAGCAAAUAAGAGUCCUCCCACAAAGAUAUUCCCUUCUUACUUUCUUUAUCCCUUCAUUUUCUUUGCUCUUGUAAAGUGUGUGGCUUUUCUUUAUCUUUGCAUUUGUUAUUCAUGACUUCUGUGAGAGUCCAUAUACUGCAUGUCAUAUGAUUAAUUCGUGUAUG
Malus domestica (apple) is the source of this 837-nucleotide non-coding RNA. The record is from RefSeq and is a predicted model, not a curated record. NCBI's taxonomy places the organism in Eukaryota, Viridiplantae, Streptophyta, Magnoliopsida, Rosales, Rosaceae.